RNAcentral lists this ribosomal RNA (492 nucleotides) under uncultured bacterium. RNAcentral describes it as "partial 16S ribosomal RNA". It matches the Rfam family "Bacterial small subunit ribosomal RNA", at positions 38 to 507 of the family's 1533-position model. The record is from RNAcentral.
GGGGGGGGGGGGGGGGGGGGGGGGGGGGGGGGGGGGGGGCGGGGGCACAGUGAGAGCUUGCUCGUGCGGGUGGCGAGUGGCGGACGGGUGAGGGAUGCAUCGGAAUCUACUUUUUCGUGGGGGAUAACGUAGGGAAACUUACGCUAAUACCGCAUCCGACCUACGGGUGAAAGCAGGGGAUCUUCGGACCUUUCGCGAUUGAAUGAGCCGAUGUCGGAUUAGCUAGUUGGCGGGGUAAAGGCCCACCAAGGCGACGAUCCGUAGCUGGUCUGCGAGGAUGAUCAGCCACACUGGAACUGAGACACGGUCCAGACUCCUACGGGAGGCAGCAGUGGGGAAUAUUGGACAAUGGGCGCAAGCCUGAUCCAGCCAUACCGCGUGGGUGAAGAAGGCCUUCGGGUUGUAAAGCCCUUUUGUUGGGAAAGAAAAGCAGCAGGUUAAUACCCCGCUGUUCUGACGGUACCCAAAGAAUAAGCACCGGCUAACUUCGUG